AGUGAACGCUGGCGGUAGGCCUAACACAUGCAAGUCGAACGGCAGCACAGUAAGAGCUUGCUCUUACGGGUGGCGAGUGGCGGACGGGUGAGGAAUACAUCGGAAUCUACUUUUUCGCGGGGGAUAACGUAGGGAAACUUACGCUAAUACCGCAUACGACCUACGGGUGAAAGCAGCGGAUCUUCGGACCUUGCGCGAUUGAAUGAGCCGAUGUCGGAUUAGCUAGUUGGCGGGGUAAAGGCCCACCAAGGCGACGAUCCGUAGCUGGUCUGAGAGGAUGAUCAGCCACACUGGAACUGAGACACGGUCCAGACUCCUACGGGAGGCAGCAGUGGGGAAUAUUGGACAAUGGGCGCAAGCCUGAUCCAGCCAUACCGCGUGGGUGAAGAAGGCCUUCGGGUUGUAAAGCCCUUUUGUUGGGAAAGAAAAGCAGCAGGUUAAUACCCCGCUGUUCUGACGGUACCCAAAGAAUAAGCACCGGCUAACUUCGUG
RNAcentral lists this ribosomal RNA (492 nucleotides) under uncultured bacterium. RNAcentral's name for it is "partial 16S ribosomal RNA". It matches the Rfam family "Bacterial small subunit ribosomal RNA", at positions 29 to 507 of the family's 1533-position model. The record is from RNAcentral.